RNAcentral lists this ribosomal RNA (650 nucleotides) under uncultured archaeon. Its description in RNAcentral is "bacterial SSU rRNA". It matches the Rfam family "Archaeal small subunit ribosomal RNA", at positions 1 to 634 of the family's 1478-position model. The record is from RNAcentral.
CAAAGCGGGCGCGAUUCGCCCUUUUCCGGUUGAUCCUGCCGGAGGUCACUGCUAUUGGGAUUCGACUAAGCCAUGCGAGUCGAGAGGGUUCGGCCCUCGGCUGACGGCUCAGUAACACGUGGAUAAUCUGCCCUUAGGUGGAGGAUACCCUCGGGAAACUGAGAAUAAUACUCCAUAGGUCUAGGAUGCUGGAAUGCAUCUAGGCUAAAAACUCCGGUGCCUAAGGAUGAGUCUGCGGACUAUCAGGUUGUAGUCAGGGUAAUGACCUGACUAGCCUACGACGGAUACGGGUUGUGAGAGCAAUAACCCGGAGAUGAUAUCUGAGACACGAUAUCAGGCCCUACGGGGCGCAGCAGGCGCGAAAACUUCACAAUGCGCGAAAGCGCGAUGAGGGAAUCCCAAGUGCUUGCACGUAAGUGUAAGCUGUUUUUAUGUUUAAAAUGCAUAGAGAGUAAGGGCUGGGUAAGACGGGUGCCAGCCGCCGCGGUAAUACCUGCAGCUCUAGUGGUGGCCGCUAUUAUUGGGCCUAAAACGUCCGUAGCCUGUUUAAUAAAUGCCUGGGUAAAUCGUGUAGCUCAACUAUACGAAUUCCGGGUAGACUGUUAAGCUUGAGAUCGGGAGAAGUUAGAGGUACUCCUGGGGUAGAGGUG